This 1666-nucleotide ribosomal RNA is filed under the name metagenome. RNAcentral describes it as "bacterial LSU rRNA". It matches the Rfam family "Bacterial large subunit ribosomal RNA", at positions 1250 to 2925 of the family's 2925-position model. The record is from RNAcentral.
UCGAAGCCAGAUCGUGAGGACUGGUGGAGCGCUUAGAAGUGAGAAUGCCGGUAUGAGUAGCGCAAGACGGGUGAGAAUCCCGUCCACCGAAUAACUAAGGUUUCCUGGGGAAGGCUCGUCCUCCCAGGGUUAGUCGGGACCUAAGCUGAGGCCGAUAGGCGUAGGCGAUGGACAACAGGUUGAUAUUCCUGUACCAGUUGCUUUUGUUUGAGCGAUGGAGGGACGCAGGAGGCUAAGGAAUGCACACGAUCGGAAAUGUGUGUCCAAGCAGCAAGUCUGAGAACGAGUGAAAUGCUUUUUCUCUCAAGGACAAGCUGUGAUGGGGAGCGAAUUUAGUAGCGAAGUUCCUGAUGUCACACUGCCAAGAGAAGCUUCUAGUGAGAAAGUAACUGCCCGUACCGCAAACCGACACAGGUAGUUGAGGAGAGAAUCCUAAGGUGUGCGAGAGAACUCUCGUUAAGGAACUCGGCAAAAUGACCCCGUAACUUCGGGAGAAGGGGUGCUGACCGCAAGGUCAGCCGCAGUGAAUAGGCCCAAGCGACUGUUUAUCAAAAACACAGGUCUCUGCAAAAUCGAAAGAUGACGUAUAGGGGCUGACGCCUGCCCGGUGCUGGAAGGUUAAGAGGAGAGGUUAGCGCAAGCGAAGCUUUGAAUUGAAGCCCCAGUAAACGGCGGCCGUAACGAUAACGGUCCUAAGGUAGCGAAAUUCCUUGUCGGGUAAGUUCCGACCCGCACGAAAGGCGUAACGAUUUGGGCACUGUCUCAACGAGAGACUCGGUGAAAUUAUAGUACCAGUGAAGAUGCUGGUUACCCGCGACAGGACGGAAAGACCCCAUGGAGCUUUACUGCAGUUUGAUAUUGCGUGUUUGUAUCACAUGUACAGGAUAGGUAGGAGCCGAAGAUACCGGGACGCCAGUCUCGGAGGAGGCAACGGUGGGAUACUACCCUUGUGAUAUGACCACUCUAACCCGCUGCUCUUAGCGAGCAGGGAGACAGUGUCAGACGGGCAGUUUGACUGGGGCGGUCGCCUCCAAAAAUGUAACGGAGGCGCCCAAAGGUUCCCUCAGAAUGGUUGGAAAUCAUUCGUAGAGUGUAAAGGCAGAAGGGAGCUUGACUGCGAGACCUACAAGUCGAGCAGGGACGAAAGUCGGGCUUAGUGAUCCGGUGGUUCCGCAUGGAAGGGCCAUCGCUCAACGGAUAAAAGCUACCCUGGGGAUAACAGGCUUAUCUCCCCCAAGAGUUCACAUCGACGGGGAGGUUUGGCACCUCGAUGUCGGCUCAUCGCAUCCUGGGGCUGUAGUCGGUCCCAAGGGUUGGGCUGUUCGCCCAUUAAAGCGGUACGCGAGCUGGGUUCAGAACGUCGUGAGACAGUUCGGUCCCUAUCCGUCGCGGGCGUUGGAAAUUUGAGAGGAGCUGUCCUUAGUACGAGAGGACCGGGAUGGACACACCGCUGGUGUACCAGUUGUUCUGCCAAGAGCAUCGCUGGGUAGCUAUGUGUGGACGGGAUAAACGCUGAAAGCAUCUAAGCGUGAAGCCCCCCUCAAGAUGAGAUUUCCCAUCACUUUAAGUGAGUAAGACCCCUGAGAGAUGAUCAGGUAGAUAGGUUGGGAGUGGAAGUACAGCGAUGUAUGGAGCGGACCAAUACUAAUCGGUCGAGGACUUAACC